RNAcentral lists this unclassified non-coding RNA (272 nucleotides) under Hevea brasiliensis (rubber tree). Lineage: Eukaryota; Viridiplantae; Streptophyta; Magnoliopsida; Malpighiales; Euphorbiaceae. The record is from RNAcentral.
UGAUGGUACCAGGGGGUAGCCUGGUGGUGUGUGGCUGCAUGAGGACUGUCUUCGCACCGCUGGGGAGCGGCGCCUCCGCUGCUGCCAGGAAUGUGCUCAGCCAGUGUAAUGUGGCACUCCCAUGCAUCUAAUUGCUCUGUGGAAUGGCAGAGAAUUGUGGGCUGAUAUUACUAUUCUAUUCCAAAUGUGCUGGUUUAUGUAAUUUUUCUCUUUGAGUUGUACGUAAUGUUAAUGUAUCUUGAAGAUGGAUCCCUUGUUGUAGAUCCUGUUCG